UCCCUCCUCAACUGAGGGUACGUAGGUAACUUGAAACUUCAAAACUUCAAGUACAGUCACACCAUUAAAACUUCAAAAAUGUAAAUACUUUAUUUCUUUAAAAGAAGAAGUCGACUCCAAAGCCUUAUUACAAGAAAAAAAAAACAGAAGAUACUACUUGAAAACUAUGUCCCUAAAACUAUGAAGGCGAUCUUCAAGCAAGCCUUCCAAAGUUUUUAAAGUCUCUACCUCGGUAGGAGACAAGAUGGGAAAAUCCAUAGUCAUUCCUUUAUCUCGUUCUAGGCGCGAAAUCUCCUCCUGGUACUGAGAAAGUGUAGUUCCCUGCUCCGAGAGAACACUUUCAAGUUGCGAUACUUCGAUUACCAACUGCUCUCGCUCUCG
RNAcentral lists this long non-coding RNA (381 nucleotides) under Malus domestica (apple). Its description in RNAcentral is "long non-coding RNA (MDOM_LNC013233)". Lineage: Eukaryota; Viridiplantae; Streptophyta; Magnoliopsida; Rosales; Rosaceae. The record is from RNAcentral.